Molecule: transfer RNA, 72 nt
Filed under: archaeon
Lineage: Archaea
Description: tRNA-Trp
Rfam family: tRNA
About the family: Transfer RNA (tRNA) molecules are approximately 80 nucleotides in length. Their secondary structure includes four short double-helical elements and three loops (D, anti-codon, and T loops).
Source: RNAcentral
GGGUGCGUAGUUUAAUGGCAAAAUGUUCGGCUCCAGACCGAAAGACUGGGGGUUCGAUUCCCUCCGUGCCCA